Molecule: ribosomal RNA, 483 nt
Filed under: uncultured bacterium
Lineage: Bacteria
Description: partial 16S ribosomal RNA
Rfam family: Bacterial small subunit ribosomal RNA
Source: RNAcentral
GAUGAACGCUAGCGGCAGGCUUAAUACAUGCACGUCGAGGGGGCAGCAAUGUCACCGGCGAACGGGUGCGUAGCGCGUAUGCAACCUACCUACAUAAGGGGGCUAGUCCUAAGAAACUGGGAUCAACCCCGCAUAAUAUAAGCUACCGCAUCGUAGGUUAUUUAAAUCUUUCUCGGAUGUAGAUGGGCAUGCGUAGGCUUAGCCAGUUGGUAAGGUAACGGGUUACCAAGGCUACGAUCCGUAGGGGCGCUGGGAGGCGUAGCCCCCACACUGGGUCUCAGGUACGGGCCAGACUCCUACGGGAGGCAGCAGUAGGGAAUAGUGGGCAAUGGAGGCAACUCUGACCCAGCCAUGCCGCGUGCAGGAAGACGGUCCUCUGGAUUGUAAUCUGCUUUUGCAUCGGAAGGAUGUGCUUCGUGCGAGGAGCAAUGACGGUACCAUUAGACUGAGACACGGCUAACUACGUGCCAGCAGCCGCUGUAA